UACGAAGGGGGCUAGCGUUGCUCGGAAUCACUGGGCGUAAAGCGCACGUAGGCGGAUUGCUAAGUCAGGGGUGAGAUCCUGGAGCUCAACUCCAGAACUGCCUUUGAUACUGGCGAUCUUGAGUCCGGGAGAGGUGAGUGGAACUGCGAGUGUAGAGGUGAAAUUCGUAGAUAUCGGGAGGAACACCGGUGGCGAAGGCGGCGACCUGGGUCGAUACUGACGCUGAGGUGCGAAAGCGUGGGGAGCAAACAGG
Molecule: ribosomal RNA, 253 nt
Filed under: uncultured bacterium
Lineage: Bacteria
Description: partial 16S ribosomal RNA
Rfam family: Bacterial small subunit ribosomal RNA
Source: RNAcentral